Paramuricea clavata is the source of this 1124-nucleotide non-coding RNA. The record is from the annotation of a GenBank genome assembly. NCBI's taxonomy places the organism in Eukaryota, Metazoa, Cnidaria, Anthozoa, Malacalcyonacea, Plexauridae.
CUUUCUAUAUGUUCUUCAAUUGUUUCCUGCCCGGUUCCUCGUUACUGUUGACUAGCUCUGCUUCCGGUAUUCACGAUACGCUCACUUCAUAUCUCCCAUCGUUUCGCUCUCGGUAUACAUCAAGCUGGUCACCUUCGCCCCGAUCCUCAAUCCCUAGCACGUCUAGGGGUAUAAGCGCUCAUACUAGCUCGUUCGUUUCUCUGGUGAACAUACAUCUCCCAUCUGCAUACUCCUUGCCAUCAUGCACGACCUAGCCAAAGGUUGUGCACUCUACGAUUGGGUCAUCUGCUCUACCUUUGAUAAUACUCUCCGUCUUGAUCUGGCAGUAGACUGCGUCUCCGAGUAUCACAUGUAUUCUUCGUUGGCGGUUCUGUAGAAAGUUUUCCCUCGCACGGGUGGAUACUUCGAAUUCUCCUUUACCUCGGUAAUUGUAUAGGCCGCCGCCUAACAGUGGUGAAAUCCGACAUCUUGCUACCCGUCAGUUCCAUUGACUUGCUUACACUCCCGUCGAACGCCUCAAUUGUCAAAGGAAAAACAGGCAACGAUUGCUCUUUCGUCCCGUUAACUGUUAAAAUCUGUCUCCUAUUAUGUCGCGUUGGCUUUAAUUUUAGCUUAUCUGGAAAAAUGUUCCGCCCUAAGCCAGUGUCUAAGUACGCCCAGAACGCUACUCCCUGGAUUUUCAUUGAUGAUGGCCGGAAGAGACUUCUCCUCUUUUGAGGGUGAAAAUCCAUUCAACAGUUUGUUGUGGCCCUGCCUUUAAUUUCCUGAUUCUCUGUUGCACAGACUGGUAUGAUGCCUUGCUUUGCACUUAUAACAACCCCUCCCGCGGCAUUUAUUUUCUUUGUGUCCUGACCGUGCACAAUUGAAGCAUAGGCGGUGCUCAGAAACGAAUCGACGGCGCUUUUCAAGAGUGUCAUACACUGGACAUGUGUCUCCACAGUGUGAUUCUUUGCACUCAAAUAUGCAUCAAAACUCUUGCUUAGGGAUUCGUAGAAGUCAUACACUUUGUUGUACCCAGAUUAGUAAUCUGGUCAACAUGAGCAGCAAUGACCAUUUUAGUUUCACCAUACUCUGUCCUUAAUCUGUCCUAUGCGGUUUGAUAAGCUAACUCUCCAGGUUUCAGA